GGCCUGGUGUAGCGGUAACACGUCCUCUAUUACUGCAGCCGCAUCCUGUUGGAGUUUAUGAGGAUGUCCCUUGUUCGAGUCAAGGCCAGGCCG
This is a non-coding RNA of Mycena leptocephala, 93 nucleotides long. Lineage: Eukaryota; Fungi; Basidiomycota; Agaricomycetes; Agaricales; Mycenaceae. The record is from the annotation of a GenBank genome assembly.